Long non-coding RNA from Serinus canaria (Common canary), 1766 nucleotides. Lineage: Eukaryota; Metazoa; Chordata; Aves; Passeriformes; Fringillidae. The record is from Ensembl.
GGAAUUUGGGAUUGGCACUGGGAAUCGGGGAUUGGCACCGGGAAUUGGGAAUGGAAAAGGGCAUUUGGGAUUGGCACCGGGAAUUCGGGAAUGGGAAAGGGAAUUGGGGAAUGUCCCCGGGAAUUGGGGACUGCCCCCGGGCACUGGGGUUCGGUGCCCACCUUCUGCAGGGAGGCGGCGGCGCCGCCCAGCAGCAGCAGCGGGGACUCCGGCCAUCUGCGCGUUCUUGACGGCCGUCACCGCGUUGGUGACACCGGGACCCGCCGUCACCGCCGCCACGCCGAUGCGGCCUGCGGGCACAGCCGGGGGCACCGGGGAGGGGAACAAGGGGGCACAAAGGUGGCACCAAGGUGGCAACAAAGGGGCAACAAGGGGGCACAAAGGUGGCACCAAGGUGGCAACAAGGGGGCACCAAGGUGGCAACAAGAUGGCGCCAAGAUGGCAACAAGGUGGCACCAAGGUGGCACCAAGAUGGGCACCAAGGUGGUGCCAAGAUGACGCCAAGGUGGCACCAAGGGGACAUCAAGGUGGCACCAAGAUAGAACCAAGAUGGCACAAAGGUGGUGCCAACGUGGUGCCAAGAUUACAAAGGUGACAUCAUGGUGACACCAAGAUGGCGCCAAGGUGGCAACAAGGGGGCAACAAGGGGGCACCAAGAUGGUGCCAAGGUGGUGCCAAGGUGGCACUAAGGUGGCAACAAGGUGGCACCAAGAUGGCUCCAAGAUGGCGCCAAGAUGGCACCAAGGUGGCACAAAGGUGGCACUAAGAUGAUGCCAAGGUGACAUCAUGGUGGCUCCAAGAUGGUGCCAAGGUGGCGCCAACAUGGUGCCAAGAUGACGCCAAGGUGGCACAAAGGUGGCACCAAGAUGGCACAAAGGUGGCGCCAACAUGGUGCCAAGAUGACACCAAGGUGACAUCAUGGUGGCACCAAGAUGGCUUCAAGAUGGCGCCAAGAUGACGCCAAGGUGACAUCAUGGUGGCUCCAGGAUGGCACCAAGGUGGCACAAAGGUGGCACCAAGGUGGCACCAAGGUGGCAACAAAGGUGGCAACAAGAUGGCUUCAAGAUGGCACCAAGGUGGCAACAAAGGUGGCCUCAAGGUGGUGCCAAGGUGACAUCAUGGUGGCACCAAGGUGGUGCCAAGGUGGCUCUAAAAUGGCGCCAAGGUGGCACCAAGAUGGACAGAUGGCCUCAGGGUGGGGCACCCCAAAACCCUCAGGAGAUGUUGGCCAUGGGGCCACCCCCUUGUGCCACCUUCAACUCUUGGGGACAAAGGGGGACAAAUGGGGACAAACGGGGACAAAUGGGGACAAACGGGGACAAACGGGGACAAAUGCCACCCUGGACACCCCAAAUGCCACCCAGGACACCCCAAACCCUCUCAGGUCACCCAGGACCCACCGGGGUGGGACACCCCAAAACCCUCUGGAGAUGUCGGCCAUAGGGGCCACCUCCAUCCCCUGGGGACAAAUGGGGACAAAACGGGGACAAAACGGGGACAAACCUCAAUCCCCUGGGGACAAACGGGGACAAAUGCCACCAUGGACACCCCAAACCCUUCAAACCCUCUCAGGUCACCCAGGAACCCCCGGGUGGGACACCCCAAAACCCUCCUGAGAUGUAGGCCAUGGGGGCCACCUCCAUCCCUUGGGGACAAAGGGGGACAAAGGGGGACAAAACAGGGACAAAUGGGGACAAAGGGGGACAAAUGCCACCAUGGACACCCCAAACCCUUCAAACCCUCUCAGGUCAUCCAAGACCCACCGG